Molecule: ribosomal RNA, 249 nt
Filed under: uncultured bacterium
Lineage: Bacteria
Description: partial 16S ribosomal RNA
Rfam family: Bacterial small subunit ribosomal RNA
Source: RNAcentral
AGGGCAGCUAGCCAGUGAUGGCAUGCGAAUCUCGAAAGCCUAUCUCAGUUCGGAUUGGAGGCUGAAACCCGCCUCCAUGAAGUUGGAUUCGCUAGUAAUCGCGCAUCAGCCAUGGCGCGGUGAAUACGUUCCCGGGCCUUGUACACACCGCCCGUCAAGCCAUGGGAGCCGGGGGUGCCUGAAGUUCGUUACCGUAAGGAUCGACCUAGGGCAAAACUGGUGACUGGGGCUAAGUCGUAACAAGGUAGC